UAAUUAAUGCAUAAAUUUAGAAUCUCAAUUAAAAGUUUCUUUAAAUAUUGUAUUAUUUAAUUACCAAACUAACCUUUAUUAAAAUAAUCCUUUUCCCUGCUAAAUAUUAAAGUUAUAUUUUUACACUCUAUUAAUCAACGGUUAAGAUCUCUUUUAUUUUUUUUAAAAAAAAGUACCGAAUCAUUUCUCUCUAUAUAUAUAUAUAAUAUAAAAUUUUAAAUUUUGAUAUCAAAAUUUAAAAUUUUGAUAUUUUCAAAUUUUAAAGUUUUAAAAUUUAUAUUUUAUAUUUUAUAUUUUAUAUUUUAAAUUCUAAAUUUUAAUUUUAACUUAUAACAUUUAUUUUCAAACUUUAAACUUCAAAUUUUAAAAUUUUUAAUCUCUAAACUCUACAAAAUUAUUUAAUUAAUUUUAUUAAUAAUUAAUUAAAUAUAUUAUAUUUAAUUUAUUUUAUUAAUAAUACCGGUAAUAAAUCGCGUAAUAAAAUCUAACCUAAUAGGUGCAAUUUAAAUCACGUAAAAUAUCGCUGUAUAAAAAAUACAUAAUUUAAAUUUCAUGAGUAAAAUUUUAAAAAUAUAAUGUAUAUAUGUGUAUAUAUAUAAUUAUUUUUUAUUAAAAAAUUUUUCUACAAUUUUAUUUUUCUUCUAUUUAUUGAAAAUUAUUUUGAUAGAUUUAUCUCAAAUCCUUUUCAUAUAAAUCUUUAUAAAAUAAAUUGUUGUAUAAAUUUACUUUGCGCAUAUACUAAUUUUAAUAAAUUUUAUUUAAAUAGAUUUAACUAUUAAAUUAUUUUUAUAUAACUUUUAUUUAAUUAAUAAUUAGAGUUAUAAAACUAUAAUAAAAAUAUUAAAAAAUAAAAAUUUAUUUUAAAAAUAAUUUUAUAUCCGCAGCAUUGCGCGGGUAUUUCACUAGUAAGUUAUU
RNAcentral lists this long non-coding RNA (915 nucleotides) under Ananas comosus (pineapple). Its description in RNAcentral is "long non-coding RNA (ACOM_LNC036634)". The record is from RNAcentral. Lineage: Eukaryota; Viridiplantae; Streptophyta; Magnoliopsida; Poales; Bromeliaceae.